CCUACGGGUGGCAGCAGUGAGGAAUCUUGGUCAAUGGACGAGAGUCUGAACCAGCCAAGUAGCGUGAAUGAUGAAUGCUCUCUGGGUUGUAAACUUCUUUUAUAUGGGAAUAAAAUGUUCCAAGUGUGGGAUUUUGUAUGUACCAUAUGAAUAAGGAUAGGCUAACUCCGUGACAGCAGACGCGGUAAUACGGAGGAUACGAGCGUUAUCCGGAUUUAUUGGGUUUAAAGGGAGCGUAGGUGGAUUGUUAAGUCAGUUGUGAAAGUUUUCGGCUCAACCGGAAAAUUGCAGUUGAAACUGGCUGUCUUGAGUACAGUAGAGGUGGGCGGAAUUCGUUGUGUAGCGGUGAAAUGCUUAGAUAUCACGAAGAACUCCGAUUGCGAAGGCAGCUCACUGGACUGCAACUGACACUGAGGCUCGAAAGUGUGGGUAUCAAACAGGAUUAGAUACCCCAGUAGUC
RNAcentral lists this ribosomal RNA (460 nucleotides) under uncultured bacterium. Its description in RNAcentral is "partial 16S ribosomal RNA". It matches the Rfam family "Bacterial small subunit ribosomal RNA", at positions 338 to 795 of the family's 1533-position model. The record is from RNAcentral.